Molecule: ribosomal RNA, 253 nt
Filed under: uncultured bacterium
Lineage: Bacteria
Description: partial 16S ribosomal RNA
Rfam family: Bacterial small subunit ribosomal RNA
Source: RNAcentral
UACGAAGGGGGCUAGCGUUGUUCGGAAUUACUGGGCGUAAAGCGCACGUAGGCGGAUCGAUCAGUCAGGGGUGAAAUCCCAGAGCUCAACUCUGGAACUGCCUUUGAUACUGUCGAUCUGGAGUAUGGAAGAGGUGAGUGGAAUUCCGAGUGUAGAGGUGAAAUUCGUAGAUAUUAGGAAGAACACCAGUGGCGAAGGCGGCUCACUGGCUCGGUACUGACGCUGAGGCGCGAAAGCGUGGGGAGCAAACAGG